Molecule: ribosomal RNA, 495 nt
Filed under: uncultured bacterium
Lineage: Bacteria
Description: bacterial SSU rRNA
Rfam family: Bacterial small subunit ribosomal RNA
Source: RNAcentral
AGAGUUUGAUCCUGGCUCAGAUUGAACGCUGGCGGCGUGCUUAACACAUGCAAGUCGAACGAUGAACCGGAGCUUGUUCUGGGGAUUAGUGGCGAACGGGUGAGUAACACGUGGGCAACCUGCCCCAGACAUCGGGAUAACCACUCGAAAGAGUGGCUAAUACCGAAUACGACCACUUUGGGCAUCCAACGGUGGUGGAAAGGAUUCUGGUCUGGGAUGGGCUCGCGGCCUAUCAGCUUGUUGGUGGGGUAAUGGCCUACCAAGGCUUCGACGGGUAGCCGGCCUGAGAGGGUGACCGGCCACACUGGGACUGAGACACGGCCCAGACUCCUACGGGAGGCAGCAGUGGGGAAUAUUGGACAAUGGGCGGAAGCCUGAUCCAGCAACGCCGCGUGAGGGAUGACGGCCUUCGGGUUGUAAACCUCUUUCAGUACCGACGAAGCGCCGAUGAUGGUGGUGACGGUAGGUACAGAAGAAGCACCGGCCAACUACGUG